UUUCCGUAGGUGAACCUGCGGAAGGAUCAUUACAGAGUUCAUGCCCUUCGGGGUAGAUCUCCACCCGUGUUUAUUUAUACCUUUGUUGCUUUGGCAGGUCGCCUUCGGGCACUCGGCUCUGGCUGAGGUGCACCUGCCAGAGGACCCCCAACUCUGUGUUUAGUAUUGUCUGAGUAAUAUUUUUAAUACGUUAAAACUUUCAACAACGGAUCUCUUGGUUCUGGCAUCGAUGAAGAACGCAGC
RNAcentral lists this unclassified non-coding RNA (243 nucleotides) under uncultured fungus. RNAcentral's name for it is "sequence contains ITS1, 5.8S rRNA gene". The stretch from base 195 to 243 matches the Rfam family "5.8S ribosomal RNA", at positions 1 to 49 of the family's 154-position model. Lineage: Eukaryota; Fungi. The record is from RNAcentral.